UACGUAGGUGGCAAGCGUUGUCCGGAUUUACUGGGUGUAAAGGGCGUGUAGCCGGGCUGACAAGUCAGAUGUGAAAUUCCGGGGCUCAACCCCGGACCUGCGUUUGAAACUGUUGGUCUUGAGUAUCGGAGAGGCAGGCGGAAUUCCUAGUGUAGCGGUGAAAUGCGUAGAUAUUAGGAGGAACACCAGUGGCGAAGGCGGCCUGCUGGACGACAACUGACGGUGAGGCGCGAAAGCGUGGGGAGCAAACAGG
Molecule: ribosomal RNA, 253 nt
Filed under: uncultured bacterium
Lineage: Bacteria
Description: partial 16S ribosomal RNA
Rfam family: Bacterial small subunit ribosomal RNA
Source: RNAcentral